UACAGAGGUCUCAAGCGUUGUUCGGAUUCAUUGGGCGUAAAGGGUGUGUAGGUGGCGCGCUAAGUCGGGUGUGAAAUUUCGGAGCUUAACUCCGAAACUGCAUUCGAUACUGGCGUGCUUGAGGACUGGAGAGGAGACUGGAAUUCAUGGUGUAGCAGUGAAAUGCGUAGAGAUCAUGAGGAAGACCAGUGGCGAAGGCGGGUCGUCUGGACAGUUCCUGACACUGAGACACGAAGGCCAGGGGAGCAAACGGG
This 254-nucleotide ribosomal RNA is filed under the name uncultured bacterium. RNAcentral describes it as "partial 16S ribosomal RNA". It matches the Rfam family "Bacterial small subunit ribosomal RNA", at positions 524 to 776 of the family's 1533-position model. The record is from RNAcentral.